GCCGACGCGUUUUUUCCUUUUUCCAUUUUGUUUUUUAUAACUGGUUGUCCCGCUACAGGUAAAAAGAAAAAAAACCGGGAAUCAGGAGAAUAGCUCAGAUUUGCUUAGAUUAUCCGGGAUGCCGCAGUUUCCAACGAUUAUCAUGGGUGUCCUGCUUCUUCCCCAUCGGACAACGCAAGACGGCGAAAUUCCACCCUGGAUGAGCGAAAAAUCAAUGAACUGCAGCAGCUGAAAAAAGGCAUUGUUCGUUUGUGUGGUGGCAUUUUAUUUGAGUACGAAAUGUUAACACAUUGAUUCAUGGCCUCGGCGGAAACCAGGUUCUCGGUGGCAAAACUGGCCGUUGUGGAAGUGAACGAAAUGUUCUCAUCAUUCGGCUGGAUUGACUUAAAACUCUUAGCAGCGAUUUACACAUUGUUUUCUCGACAGUUCCAAAGUUCCGGAUCAUAAAAAGAGUCCCGUUAGCACCCGUGCGCGACAAAAUCUUUUUCUACACCUAAAAUGUCGCAGCAAUGGGAUCGUUACUGACAAAAACAUCCAGGUCAUUUUCAAAGUGGAAAAUCAGAAGCGUAAAUAAAAUUCUGGCGAUGCAGUUUGCUAUUCACAAAUGGCCCAAACUACUGCUGGCUGGUAUUUCAAAAGUGAUCAGAAAUAGUUCCGAGGAAACCAAUGAGGUGCAAUACGCGGCAUAAAAUGCAUUGGCUGAACUGGCUAACGUUUGUCCAACGACUGUGAAUAACGAUGUCCAUCUCGUUGCUCCCUAUUUUGAUUAUUUACCAGGGACCGGUUUAAUUGCAUACUUCGAUAAGAGACGACUUGGUAGCCUUGACUCAGACUUUCGACUGGAGGAAGCAACCGUAUCGUUCUACCCAAGGGGGAAAAGGACACCAUCAUGACUACCAGAGGACGGUCUGUUCCGAGUUCCAAUCACAUUUGAUUGCUGAGGCUGUUUGGCGAAAAGGCUGAGAUGGUUCAAUCGGCCUCUAUCAAAAGUCUUGGUGUAAUAGGUUCUACCUCUACUGCCGCUCACCUCGGAACCGUCUCCUAAAGGCACGGCAAUGGAAACUAGUCGAGACAAUGUAAGCAUGGAAACCACUUUGAUGAAAGCCUUUAUGGCACUUUUUCAGUGUGGUCACAACAAAGCUAAAAUCCAAGAGCAUAUCGCCCACUGUUUGGGCUAUCUGGUUGUCGGUGAUGAGAAUUUUUUUUUGCCAAACGACUACUUGAGGAUUUUCUGGGGCGGCUGAGUUGACGAAAAAUGCGGCACUGCAUAUCGCCAGGGAACAAGCAUUGUUUUGAACUGUUCGAGGUCUUUCGAGUGGGGAACGACAAGUGGACCAGGAUUCGAUAGGAAAUAUAAACGAUGGAAUGCUCAAUUCGUUCCUGAUUGAGUAAGUGCGGAAGGUGAACAAGUCGCAUGCUUAUUUAAAACACCUGUGUCAUCUGGUUGUUGGCUAUAGUUAAAAAUUUCAGCAAGCGCAAGCCGAUGGGGAAUAAUAGACAUUCUGCAGCUGGCAUUCACUGAUUUACUCUCAGAGGAUAGUGGUAAGUUGUGCCAUUUUUGUUUUUGAGAGUGGAUAAUAUUAGACUUAAUUUUAGAAUACUGGAAUUUUAGAAUCUGUGAAUCGAAGAAUUUCAGAAUUUUAGAAAUCCAGCAUUUUAGAG
Topomyia yanbarensis is the source of this 1662-nucleotide long non-coding RNA. RefSeq lists it as uncharacterized. The transcript has 3 exons. The record is from RefSeq and is a predicted model, not a curated record. Lineage: Eukaryota; Metazoa; Arthropoda; Insecta; Diptera; Culicidae.